GUCCAAGGAAAGCUGCAGAAGUGGAUGCACUGCUUGUUAUUUCAGAGGCAGGAAAUCCCUCUGUUCCCGAUGGCCAAAGGACAGGGCAGCAGAAGGAGGCAAAAUGGAGCAGCAUCCACCUCUGACUUGGAGCACCCACCCCUGACUUGGAGCACCCAUGAUCAGGACCUCUGGAUGAACGAACUUGAGCAACCUUAAGCUCCUGGUGCAAUGAGGUUUUUUGGGAGGGAAGGCAGAGUGUGACCUUCUCAGAGGCCCCUUGACCAAAUCCAUAAG
Molecule: long non-coding RNA, 276 nt
Filed under: Zonotrichia albicollis (white-throated sparrow)
Lineage: Eukaryota; Metazoa; Chordata; Aves; Passeriformes; Passerellidae
Description: lncRNA (ENSZALG00000018181.1)
Source: RNAcentral